CCUACGGGCGGCAGCAGUGGGGAAUAUUGGACAAUGGACCAAAAGUCUGAUCCAGCAAUUCUGUGUGCACGAUGACGUUUUUCGGAAUGUAAAGUGCUUUCAGUUGGGAAGAAAAAAAUGACGGUACCAACAGAAGAAGUGACGGCUAAAUACGUGCCAGCAGCCGCGGUAAUACGUAUGUCACAAGCGUUAUCCGGAUUUAUUGGGCGUAAAGCGCGUCUAGGUGGUUAUGUAAGUCUGAUGUGAAAAUGCAGGGCUCAACUCUGUAUUGCGUUGGAAACUGUGUAACUAGAGUACUGGAGAGGUAAGCGGAACUACAAGUGUAGAGGUGAAAUUCGUAGAUAUUUGUAGGAAUGCCGAUGGGGAAGCCAGCUUACUGGACAGAUACUGACGCUAAAGCGCGAAAGCGUGGGUAGCAAACAGGAUUAGAUACCCGAGUAGUC
This 443-nucleotide ribosomal RNA is filed under the name uncultured Fusobacterium sp. RNAcentral's name for it is "bacterial SSU rRNA". It matches the Rfam family "Bacterial small subunit ribosomal RNA", at positions 338 to 795 of the family's 1533-position model. The record is from RNAcentral. Lineage: Bacteria; Fusobacteriati; Fusobacteriota; Fusobacteriia; Fusobacteriales; Fusobacteriaceae.